This 530-nucleotide ribosomal RNA is filed under the name uncultured bacterium. Its description in RNAcentral is "partial 16S ribosomal RNA". It matches the Rfam family "Bacterial small subunit ribosomal RNA", at positions 899 to 1397 of the family's 1533-position model. The record is from RNAcentral.
ACUCAAAUGAAUUGACGGGGACUUGCACAAGCAGUGGAUUAUGCGGUUUAAUUCGAUGGUGAACGAAGAACCUUACCAAGGUUAGAAAUCCCAACGACUCCGCCGAGAAAUUGGCGGAUUUCGCAAGAACGGUGGGACAGGUGAUGCAUGGCCGUCGUCAGUUCGUGGUUUGAAUUGUUCCCUUAAGUGGGGUAACGAACGCAACCCUCGUUGCCAGUUAUAAGUGUCUGGCGAGACUGCCCCCUCUCCAGUUUUGGAAAUUUGAAAUUUUCAAAACUGCAAAACUGGAGAGGGGGAGGAAGGCGAGGAUGACGCCAGGUCAGCAUGUCCCUUGAUACCUUGGGCUACACGCAUAAUACAAUCGCAUCUACAACGGGUCGCGACGUCGUAAGACUGAGCUAAUCCUAAGAAAAGAUGCGUCAGUUCAGAUUGGGGGCUGAAACUCGACCCCAUGAAGUUGGAAUUGCUAGUAAUCGCGGGUCAGCUAUACCGCGGUGAAUACGUUCUCAAGUCUUGUACACACCGCCCGU